GACGAACGCUGGCGGCGUGCCUAACACAUGCAAGUCGAGCGAGCGAAUCUCCUUCGGGAGUGAAGCUAGCGGCGGACGGGUGAGUAACACGUGGGCAACCUGCCUCAUAGAGGGGAAUAGCCUUUCGAAGGGAAGAUUAAUACCGCAUAAGAUUGUAGCUUCGCAUGAAGUAGCAAUUAAAGGAGCAAUCCGCUAAGAGAUGGGCCCGCGGCGCAUUAGCUAGUUGGUGAGGUAACGGCUCACCAAGGCGACGAUGCGUAGCCGACCUGAGAGGGUGAUCGGCCACAUUGGGACUGAGACACGGCCCAGACUCCUACGGGAGGCAGCAGUGGGGAAUAUUGCACAAUGGGGGAAACCCUGAUGCAGCAACGCCGCGUGAGUGAUGACGGCCUUCGGGUUGUAAAGCUCUGUCUUCAGGGACGAUAAUGACGGUACCUGAGGAGGAAGCCACGGCUAACUACGUGCCAGCCGCCGCUGUAA
RNAcentral lists this ribosomal RNA (480 nucleotides) under uncultured bacterium. RNAcentral's name for it is "partial 16S ribosomal RNA". It matches the Rfam family "Bacterial small subunit ribosomal RNA", at positions 28 to 523 of the family's 1533-position model. The record is from RNAcentral.